RNAcentral lists this ribosomal RNA (253 nucleotides) under uncultured bacterium. RNAcentral describes it as "partial 16S ribosomal RNA". It matches the Rfam family "Bacterial small subunit ribosomal RNA", at positions 524 to 776 of the family's 1533-position model. The record is from RNAcentral.
UACGUAGGGCGCAAGCGUUGUCCGGAAUUAUUGGGCGUAAAGAGCUCGUAGGCGGCUUGUCACGUCGGAUGUGAAAGCCCGGGGCUUAACCCCGGGUCUGCAUUCGAUACGGGCUAGCUAGAGUGUGGUAGGGGAGAUCGGAAUUCCUGGUGUAGCGGUGAAAUGCGCAGAUAUCGGGAGGAACACCAGUGGCGAAGGCGGCUCUCUGGACCUCUGCUGACGCUGAGGCGCGAAAGCGUGGGGAGCGAUCCGG